CCUACGGGUGGCAGCAGUAGGGAAUAUUGCUCAAUGGGCGAAACCCUGAAGCAGCAACGCCGCGUGGAGGAUGAAGGUUUUCGGAUUGUAAACCCCUUUUGUUAGAGAAGAUAAUGACGGUAUCUAACGAAUAAGCACCGGCGAACUCCGUGCCAGCAGCCGCGGUAAUACGGAGGGUGCCAGCGUUACUCGGAAUGACUGGGCGUAAAGGGCGCGUAGGCGGGUUGGCAAGUCAGAUGUGAAAGCCUAUGGCUUAACCGUAGAACGGCAUUGGAAACUGUGGUACUGGAGUGUGGGAGAGGAAGGUGGAAUUCGUGGUGUAGGGGUAAAAUGCGUAGAGAUAAAGCGGAAACCCCAUGGCGAAGGCGACCCGCUGGAGCAUAACUGACGCUGAGGCGCGAAAGCGUGGGGAGCAAACAGGAUUAGAUACCCGAGUAGUC
RNAcentral lists this ribosomal RNA (440 nucleotides) under uncultured bacterium. RNAcentral describes it as "partial 16S ribosomal RNA". It matches the Rfam family "Bacterial small subunit ribosomal RNA", at positions 338 to 795 of the family's 1533-position model. The record is from RNAcentral.